GGGGAUGUGGCUCAGAGGUAGAGUGCUUGCCUAGCCUGCCUGAAGCCCUGGUUCAAGACCCAGCAUCACCA
This 71-nucleotide transfer RNA is filed under the name Ictidomys tridecemlineatus (thirteen-lined ground squirrel). RNAcentral's name for it is "Spermophilus tridecemlineatus (thirteen-lined ground squirrel) tRNA". It matches the Rfam family "tRNA". From Rfam's summary of the family: Transfer RNA (tRNA) molecules are approximately 80 nucleotides in length. Their secondary structure includes four short double-helical elements and three loops (D, anti-codon, and T loops). The record is from Rfam by way of RNAcentral. Lineage: Eukaryota; Metazoa; Chordata; Mammalia; Rodentia; Sciuridae.